UACAGAGGUCUCAACCGUUGUUCGGAUUCAUUGGGCGUAAAGGGUGCGUAGGCGGCGGGGUAAGUCAGGUGUGAAAUCUCGGGGCUCAACCCCGAAACUGCACUUGAUACUGCCUCGCUUGAGUACUGGAGAGGAGACUGGAAUUUACGGUGUAGCAGUGAAAUGCGUAGAUAUCGUAAGGAAGACCAGUGGCGAAGGCGAGUCUCUGGACAGCAACUGACGCUGAGGCACGAAGGCCAGGGGAGCAAACGGG
This 253-nucleotide ribosomal RNA is filed under the name uncultured bacterium. RNAcentral describes it as "partial 16S ribosomal RNA". It matches the Rfam family "Bacterial small subunit ribosomal RNA", at positions 524 to 776 of the family's 1533-position model. The record is from RNAcentral.